This 467-nucleotide ribosomal RNA is filed under the name uncultured bacterium. Its description in RNAcentral is "partial 16S ribosomal RNA". It matches the Rfam family "Bacterial small subunit ribosomal RNA", at positions 28 to 507 of the family's 1533-position model. The record is from RNAcentral.
GACGAACGCUGGCGGCGUGCUUAACACAUGCAAGUCGAACGGAAAGGCCUCUUUCGGGGGGUACUCGAGUGGCGAACGGGUGAGUAACACGCGAGUAACCUGCCCUUGACUUUGGGAUAACUUCUGGAAACUGGGGCUAAUACCGGAUAGGAGCUCCUGCUGCAUGGGGGGGGUUGGAGAGUUUCGGCGGUUGGGGAUGGACUCGCGGCUUAUCAGCUUUUUGGUGGGGGAGUGGCUUACCAAGGCUUUGUCGGGUAGCCGGCCUGGGAGGGGGACCGGCCACAUUGGGACUGGGAUACGGCCCAGACUCCUACGGGAGGCAGCAGUGGGGAAUAUUGCACAAUGGGUGGGAGCCUGAUGCAGCAACGCCGUGUGCGGGAUGACGGCCUUCGGGUUGUAAACCGCUUUCGCUCAUGACGAAGCUUUGUGUGACGGUAGUGGGUAAAGAAGCACCGGCUAACUACGUG